CCGUUGUCGUCUCUUUCUUAUUCAUGGAUAAAGUCCUCAUUUUCUUCAUCUAAUCAAGAUUUAAAUGCCUCCAUGCAUUCGGUUUCUAGCAAAGCUGGAUCUUCAGCGAUACCAAUUCUUCCCUUGCCAAGUUUACCUUAUUCCUCAUCUUCAAUUUUGGGGUCCACUACAUCUCCUUUAACUACAUUGCCUCCUCUGCUGACCCCUGAUCAGCUUACACAAUCUCGACCAACAGCAUCCUCCUCUAACCAGAGACUGAUCCCUGAGCGAGAAGACAUGGCAGCUGUAUUGUCACCAUCAUCAAACCCACCAUCGUCUGUUAGUUCACUGCCUCAGGAACCAUUGUUGCCAUUACGAUUGCUUUCCCAACAGGGUCAGGGUAGGGUGGCUCAGUUCACCGAAGAAUUUGAUUUUACGGCCAUGAAUGAGAAGUUUAACAAAGAUGAAGCUUGGGGGUCGCAUGGCAAGGUAAAACUAAGAAGGACAAAAGGAAAUGGAAUGGAAGAAAAUCCAAUUCACGAUAAUGUGGAGGUUGAAGAGGGUUAUGGACAAGAUCCCAAGCUUGGCCACAAAAUAGUCGGCACAAAUUUGACUGCAGCACAGUUCACAUCUCAUAUCCUGCCUAAGUUUCAGCUAGUGGUGCACGCGGUUCUGGGGUAACCUAAGAACUGAGGUGAACUGAACCGACUUCAUUGGUGGUUUAGAUUUUAACAUAGGUUGGUCCAACUCAAAGUCAAAGUGGUUGAUAACCUGAUCUAACCCGAACCACAUGAAUCAAUAUUUAUAUAUUAUUAAUUUUGUAUGGCGUAUUAAAUCAGCUAUCAUAGAUUAUGAUAAUUUUUGUUUUCUUAAACAAAAUAUUGGAUUUUUUUUUUUGUUUUGUUAACAUAUCAUGUACAAGAUUUAUAGUUUAUUUUUUGGAUUUUGUUGUUGUAUGAGGUUGUUGAAUAUAUUUGUUGUUGGUUUAUUUUGUUCACUGGUUUAAAUGGGUUUUCUUGAAAGAAAAGAAUCAAUAGAUUCUUAUGCUGAUUUUUUAAAGAAAAUUGGGAAGUUUUAGGGCCAAUCUUAUCUUAGUCCAUUGGUUUAGUUUCUUUCCACCGUUGAUUGGUUGGCAUUGAAAUUACAAAAACUGAGAUCUUAUUGAAAUUGGUUUUGUUCUGGAUUGGUCCCCAACCUGAACUGACCUGAACCUCUUGUAUAAGCUUGUUUCAGCACUCUGCAAUGUUACCCAUGCUGCUGCUUGAUGAAGCUCUUAAUUAAUUAUGUACCCCCCAAAAAAGCUCUUGAUUGAUUAGUGGUUUGAAUAUUGAUAACUAUGUGGGCCAAACUGUAGAAUAUACUGUAGGAAAUGACCUAGAGGCAGAAAACAUGCUUGUUAAUGAGCAAUCGCUAGCUUUCUGGGGAUGAUAAGAUUUCAGUUCUUAAAUAGGGUCAAGCAUUUAGCUUCUGCUUUGACUUGAAGCAAUUCAAUUACAACUUUAUUGAUGUCCUGUUUUGCAGCCUGUAUAUAAUAAAGAUGACUUCUUUGACAAUCUUUCUUGCAACUCACUUAACCGAGGAUCAUGGAGUGGCCGUAUGAAGUUCUCUGAGCGAAUGAAAUUAGAUACAGAGACUUUUGGUGAGUUCCAGCAGGGGACUCCUUUGGGUCGUGGCAACCAUGGGCCUGCUCAUCCUGGUAACUUCAGGGGAUCAGACAACCGAGGAAGAGGUUAUGGAUAUUAUGGUGGGAGGGGGCAUGGGGGUUACAGGCUUGUCUAGGAGCUUUUGUAUGUUCAAUUUCCCUAGGAUUUGUGCUUUUGCUAGUGUACUCAUAUCAGUCCUGCUAUUCGACCCUCUUCGUCUGUGGCGGAUGUCAAAGCCUCUUUCCUGCCCGCAUCAAGUCAUAGCCUCAUAGGCUUCCCUCUUUGUAUUUAGGAGGCAUACCAUGACUCUCCUUACGUGGUUUCAAGUUACUUGAAAUAGAGAACUGUCAAUGUACUUACAACGUGUGCAUCUUUCAAUUGGUGAGAAAAGUUGAUCAAUGAACUUUUAUAUGUUAUAUGAACGACUUGUUAAUUAUGGUUAUUAUUGAUGCUUAGCCUGUAAAAUCUGUUUUUAAUUAUUAGAAAAUAGAAUUUGGAUUUUGUUUAAGAUGAUGCCAGCUGAAAUAGAUGUGGCAAAUAGGACAGAGAUAUACUAAAAGAAGGUUAGGAGGCACCAAGGACCUUUAUACACAAAGUGUCCAAAUAUAUUUUAGUAAGAACAAAGACAAGUGAAUGCAGGAAGGGUUUUUAGGUAAUCCGUUUCAGAAGGUUCUUAAAAAAAAAAAAAUUAUGACCAGUGUCGAAAGAUGGUUAAUAUAUCAGACCAUACUGAUGGAAUGAGGCUUCUGGCUUGUCCUUAUGAUUAUUAGGGGUGAAGAUGCCAUCCGAAUUUUAGGCUGAUUGGUACGUCAAAAUAGAAAGCAGAUGCUGGGACAACUCCAAGUCUCCAAGUCCAUAUUUCGACUUAAAAUUGCAUGUCAAGGAAUCAGCUGGUGAAGUCAUGGUACCC
This is a non-coding RNA of Phoenix dactylifera (date palm), 2532 nucleotides long. The record is from RefSeq and is a predicted model, not a curated record. NCBI's taxonomy places the organism in Eukaryota, Viridiplantae, Streptophyta, Magnoliopsida, Arecales, Arecaceae.